GGACGUGUCCCUGUCUUUGCACAUUGAUGCUGAAACCGCCCCUGGCGCUCAUGCAUUAAUCUCAACUCUCUGCGUCUGUGUUUCCUCCGUGUAGACAUGUUUUCGCUCAUAGGUGUCAAAAGUUUGGAGAGCACAACCAUUUGUCCUUAACCACACUCGUGGGAACCGACCAGCUCCGUCUAGAUCUUUAUAGAUGGAUCUAUAAAGAGUCAUUUUCUCAAAGUUCAAUAGGUAUGACUUCUACCCCCGUGGUCUCUGAAAAUCUGAACGGACUGCCCUGUCACCCCCUACACCUGAUCCUAGUUAUUGACAGAUAGAAACUGCCACACACAGAUUAUUUUAUUUCUAUACAAUUUAUGCAUGGAAUUAUAAUUUUAUACAUAGACACACAAGUUAUACCACUCUGUACACAUAUAUGAAAUACAUUAGUAUAUGUGUAUAUGCUUUUAUUAUAUAUAAUAAACAUAUGUGCAUACCUAUUGAUAUAUGUUCAUAUAUAUUCUAGUGUCUAUAUAUACCAUGUAUAUGUUCUCAUAUAUUUCUAAUAUAUGUAUAAUAGGUGUGUUCUAGUAUAUAUUUGAAUAUAUGUAUCUAUGUACUAGUAUAUUUUCUAAGAUAUAUCAUGUAGGUUCUAGCAUAUAUAUUCUAAUAUAUAUAGUUCUAUAACUUGUAUAUUUUAGAAAUUCUUUAUUGUUAUAUUAUUCAUGAGACAUUCAGGACUUCAAUCCAAAUGAGAACCUACAAUUUCUAGAAAAAGAGAGUAACAGAGUAGUUAUCUAAGUGAUGCCCACUUUGAAACAUGGCUGUAGGAGUUCCCGUCGUGGCACAGUGGUUAACGAAUCCGACUAGGAACCAUGAGGUUGCAGGUUCGAUCCCUGGCCUUGCUCAGUGGGUUAAGGAUCCAGCAUUGCCGUGAGCUGUGGUGUAGGUUGCAGACGUGUCUCGGAUCCUGUGUAGCUGUGGCUCUGGCGUAGGCUGGAGGCUGCAGAUCCAGUUCAACCCCUAGCCUGGGAACCUCCAUAUGCCGCGGGAGCGGCCUAAGAAA
RNAcentral lists this long non-coding RNA (1045 nucleotides) under Sus scrofa (pig). RNAcentral's name for it is "lncRNA (ENSSSCG00050009829.1)". The record is from RNAcentral. Lineage: Eukaryota; Metazoa; Chordata; Mammalia; Artiodactyla; Suidae.